This 252-nucleotide ribosomal RNA is filed under the name uncultured bacterium. RNAcentral describes it as "partial 16S ribosomal RNA". It matches the Rfam family "Bacterial small subunit ribosomal RNA", at positions 524 to 776 of the family's 1533-position model. The record is from RNAcentral.
UACGGAGGGGGCUAGCGUUGUUCGGAAUUACUGGGCGUAAAGCGCACGUAGGCGGAUUGAAAGUUGGGGGUGAAAUCCCGGGGCUCAACCCCGGAACUGCCUUCAAAACUCCCAGUCUGGAGGUCGAGAGAGGUGAGUGGAAUUCCAGGUGUAGAGGUGAAAUUCGUAGAUAUUCGGAGGAACACCAGUGGCGAAGGCGGCUCACUGGCUCGAUACUGACGCUGAGGUGCGAAAGCGUGGGGAGCAAACAGG